This 1175-nucleotide small RNA is filed under the name Pongo abelii (Sumatran orangutan). Its description in RNAcentral is "retained intron". Lineage: Eukaryota; Metazoa; Chordata; Mammalia; Primates; Hominidae. The record is from RNAcentral.
CACACCCUAGGGCUCUGUGACCUCUGUCCCAGCCUGGAGAAGCAACUGUUAGUGUUCCCGGGACACAAGUGUGGGAGUCUGCAACUUGUGGACCUGGCGAGCACAAAGCCUGGCACCUCGUCUGCUCCAUUCACGAUCAAUGCACAUCAGAGUGACAUAGCCUGUGUGUCUCUAAACCAGCCAGGCACUGUAGUGGCCUCAGCCUCCCAGAAGGGUACCCUUAUUCGCCUCUUUGACACACAAUCCAAGGAGAAACUGGUAGAGCUGCGCCGAGGCACUGACCCUGCCACCCUCUACUGGUGAGCACAGGGUAUGCAUGGUGGGCUGGUGACCCCAUACCACAUGACAUAUGGGCAUCACUGCUGAUCUGUCUUCUAGCAUUAACUUCAGCCACGACUCCUCCUUCCUCUGCGCUUCCAGUGAUAAGGGCACCGUCCAUAUCUUUGCUCUCAAGGAUACCCGCCUCAACCGCCGCUCCGCGUGAGUACCCCCUCCCCACCCUACCGUGUCCCUGUCCCCCUGCCCGUUUACCAUACCUGGGCUUAGCCGGUGCUGCCUGCAGGCUGGCUCGCGUGGGCAAGGUGGGGCCUAUGAUUGGGCAGUACGUGGACUCUCAGUGGAGCCUGGCGAGCUUCACUGUGCCUGCUGAGUCAGCUUGCAUCUGCGCCUUCGGUCGCAAUACUUCCAAGAACGUCAACUCUGUCAUUGGUGAGUGGGAACAGCCCCUUGGUUGGGGGUACUGCAUGGGGCAAAGAACUGCGGGUUGGACCUGAAAGGAUUUUAGGGCCCUGUGAGGCUCAGCUUCAUCAUCAGUAAGGGGGACAGCACUGGGCAAAGGCCUGGAGGCAGACCCUAGGUCCUGAGAUGCCUGAGAGGACUGGAGCCUGUGGCUGUGGCAGCCUCUGACCUUUUACCACCACCCCCCUCCCCAGCCAUCUGCGUAGAUGGGACCUUCCACAAAUAUGUCUUCACCCCCGAUGGAAACUGCAACAGAGAGGCUUUCGACGUGUACCUUGACAUCUGUGAUGAUGAUGACUUUUAAGGACCCUGGGGGCUGUGCUAGGGACCUGCAGUGGCAGACUGCAGAGCUGAGCCUUGGCAGUGGGGCGUGCUUGGAAGCCACCAGCCAGCAAGCAUUAAUGGGGCUGGUGCCCACUUUCCACUCAGCAGAGCUA